GCGGAGGGGAUGGGCCCAGGAGGAGGUAUUCGGCGGGAGCCGGCGCCGGGCGAUCGCUUCCAGCCCCCUGAGCCCUCUCCCUCAAGGGAAGGGCACACUCACUGACCCUCCGGAGCCUCCAAAACAGAAGUCACUGAAACCUGCAUCUUCCUUCUCUGCCCCCCUCGCCCUCUCCCUCCUGCAGGAGAAACUUUGCCCCCACCUCCAGGUGAGAUACUUGUUCAUGACUGAAGGUAUUUUUGCUUGUCACAACUCGUGGGGUACUGCUGUUGGCAGGGGCCAGAGAUGCAGCUGAAUAUACUACAGUACACUGUAGUGUUGGAGAAGACUCUUGAGAGUCCCUUGGACUGCAAGGAGAUCCAACCAGUCCAUCCUAAAGGAGAUCAGUCCUGGGUGUUCAUUGGAAGGACUGAUGCUGAGGCUGAAACUCCAAUACUUUGGCCACCUGAUGCGAAGAACUGACUCCUUAGAAAAGACCCUGAUGCUGGGAAAGAUGGAAGGCAGGGGAAGAAGGGGAAGACAGAGGAUAAGAUGGUUAGAUGACAUCACCGACUCGAUGGACAUGAGUUUGAAUAAGCCCUGGGAGUUGGUGAUGGACAGGGAAGCCUGGUGUGCUGCAGUCCAUGGGGUCGCAGAGAGUCAGACAUGACCGAGUGACUGAACUGAAAUGAACGCAGAACAGCCCCUGCAACAAAGAAUUAUCUGGCCCCGAAUUUUAAUAGUACCAAGACAGAGAAUCCCCACCCUAAAAAUACCCCAAGAUCUGAGUAAAAAACAGUUAUAAUUGUUAAAGUAACUCUAAAAAGGAAAUGAUAAAUUAUACAAAAGAGGAUAUUCUAAAAAAAUUUUAGAAUUAAAAAAAGAUUAAAAUUAGAGUUUUUUAAAUAUUGAAAGACGUAGAGACAAUUAGGGGAAAAGGACAAUGUCCAAAGACUAAUUGAACAGGCCAUGCAUAAUACAAGAGCAUAUGCUUAAAAUAAAAUGCUAAUUUAAAAUAGAUUAAAGAAAUGCGUGUGCAUGAGGUAACUCAGAAGAAACUGGUGAGAGUUACUUCCUUUCAACUUAUUUUCAUCUUUUCCAAUGCUCAGUGAACAGACUUCCCACUGAUUUCAAAGAAUAUUUUGGUUUUGAGAUUAGCUUUAUGGAAGCUAAAAAUUGGUCUUUAAAAACCAUUAACUCCUGGUCCUGUAGAUUUUGAAAUUCUUUAAAUAAAAGAACAUGCUACUAAACAGCACGUGCAGUGCAGUGCUCAUUCACUAAGUCAUGUCUGACUCUUUGUGACCCCCAUGGAUUUUAGCCUGCCAGGCUCCUCAGCCCACAGGGUUUUCCAGGCAAGAAAACUGGAGCGGCCUGCCAUUUUCUCCUCCAGGGGAUCUUCCCGACCCAGUGAUCAAACCCCCAUCUCCUACACUGGCAGGUGGAUUCUUUACCGCUGAGCCGCCUGGUAGACAACAGUGAUAGUUAGGGGAAUGAUGGGGCUUCUGUGGGUACUCAAAUGGUAAAGAAUCUGCCUGCAAUGCAGGAGACCCAAGUUCCAUCCCUGGUCAAGGAAAUGGCUACCCACUCCAGUAUUAUUGCCUCGGAAAUCCCACGGUCAGAGGAGCCUAGGCAGGCUACAGUCCAUGGUGUUGCAAAAGAGUCGGACACAGCUUAACAACUAAACUACAAGAACAACAAAUAAGUAAAGAUUAAUAGAAACUUUAGCUCAAAAAAACAACCUUUCAUUUGUUAAAAGUUAUUGAUAGGGAGACUUCCCUGGUGGCCUCGUGGGUAAGACUCCACUCUCACCAUGCAGGGGGUCACAAAGAGUUGGACAUGGCAGAGCAACUUUUACUUCACUUCAUGGGAAUGAUACCUAUUCCCAUAUUUUUAGGAGAGGUGUUUGUGAUGAUUAAAAAAAAAAAAAUCUGACUAGUAUAGGAAAGUGUUAUCCUAAUACAAUUAGUUUAAAACCAGAAACAAAAGGAAAAAAAAAAAAAAAAACCUCAGUCAUUAAAAAGGUCAUAUUAGUAAUUCUUAGACAAAAAGAAAAUAUUUAAUAUGAUAUAAGUUGCUUUUUUCAAAUCCUAUCAUUUGUGUGUGAAGAGGAUCAAAAUAUGCCACCCCAAAAUAUGUUUCUUUGGCAUACGGAUGAUCUUGAGCUGGUUAUUUUUAAGAAACAGCAGACGCAGGAAAAACUCUGAAAACCAAGUUGUUCUUUGUAAGGUACAUUUACAUUUAUAAGGGAAAUCAUAUUUAAACAUGUUUCCCUCUCUGUGGGCUUCCCUGGUGGCUCCUCUUCCCUGGUGGCUUCCCUGGUAAGAAUCUGCCUACAAUGCAGGAGACCCAGGUUUGAUCCCUAGGUUGGGAAGAUGCCCUGAAGAAGGGAAUGGCAACCCUCUCCAGUAUUCUUGCCUGGAGAAUUCCAUGGACAGAGGAGCCUGACGGGCUACAAUUCAUGGGGUUGUGAAGAAUCAGCCACGACUGAGCAACUAACACUUUCACUUUUCCUUCUCUGUAGUAGGAAGAGAAGAAGGAUUCUAAAUCUCUAGAAACUCUUGUCAAUGAAGAAGGUGAUGAUCGGAAUCUGUAAAACAAAUUUACCCUGUUCACUAUGCUUUCCCCAUAACUGUACUCUCCCCUACCCACACACAUCUCUCUUUUGUCUUUAGUUGAAGAUGGUACUUAAGGUGGUGGAUUGGGCCAUUUCAAGAAGUUACUCAGUUUUCUUGGAUAUCUUAAAUGUACACGAGAGGUAUUUUGUUGUUAUUUGUUAGUCGCUCUGUCGUGUCCAACUCUUUGUGACCCUAUGGACUGUAGCCCACCAGGCUCCUCUGUCCAUGGGAUUUUCCAGGCAAGAGUACUGGAAUGGGUUGUCAUUUACUCCUCCAGGGGAUCUUCCCAACUCAGGGAUCAAAUCUGACUGUCUUAAGUCUCUUGCAUUGGCAGGCAGAUUCUUGACCACUAGAAUGACAUGGGAAGCCCUCUAGUCCUUCCAAAUAUUAUGGCUCAGCUAAGGGUCUACUCUACAGAGAGUAUUUUGAUCCUUUAUAUCAUAUCCUUCUAAAAUAUACUUUUUAUUGGAGAGGUGAUAUCAUAUAUUUCAUGGAUGUCUCAUUUACUUGUUUUCUCCUAGGGUAUUCUUUUCUCUUUUUUCUGUGUUUGUUUGUUUGUUUUGGGUUUUGUCUUUUGUUUUUUAUGGGAGAAGGGGAGGCAAGGGUUAUUAUCAAUAAUGUUUGUAUUGGCAUCAAUGAAGAAAAAUUUUUUUUGUAUUUUCUGAUUAUAUCCUGAAGAAAAAUCACUAAAGUAGAAUCCAUGAACCAAGCAGUAUAAAAUUGAGGCCAUAAUGGUAUUACCAAUGGAAAUAGUUCAAAUGUAAAACCAAGCUACAAUUACUCUUUAGAAAUGCCAAAAUAACUGAGUCCUCAUUUUCAGAUGGUUACCUUGUUAAUUCCAUAGUAGCAUUUAUGAUGUCAUUAUUGCUAUCCUGGAGGAUAGCAGACUGCCUUGGCUCUUAAAGCAUUUUCUUGUGACAUGACCAGGUCCAUUAUGUCCUUUAUGUUCACAUCUGUUUCAUUAACUUCCUCCUCUUCUCUCUCCUCGUGUGCAAGAAGAGACCGUAUUUUUCUUGAAUGUCCCAGAUGGUUCUGCUGUGAACUUUGAGAUUCUCAACAGUUGCUGGCUGUGCUUGUUGAGAUAGGUCCUUGACCUUGGCUUCCUCCCAAGCUUUGUAGGUAUCGAAAGUUGGAUCCAUGUGGGCAGCUUGGUUCAUCAACAGUGAAAAUUAAAGAACCAGAGAGAGAGAAUCUAGCCAGGGAGGAAGUCAAUCUUUUUAAACCUACUCUUUGAAAUGAUAUCCCAUCACUUUGGUUGUAUUCUGUUUGUUAAAAGCAAGUGUGAAUCCAGCCUACCCUUUAGGCUUUUUCUUUCUUUUUGUUGAAGUAGAAUUGAUUUACAAUAUUAAUUUCAGGUACACAACAUAGUGAUUCAAUAUUUUUCAGAUUAUACUCCAUUUAAAGUUAUUAUAAAAAUAUGGUCUAUAUUCCAUGUUUGUGGGUGUGAGAUCCCACAUCCCUUGUCAUGCCCUCAGGGACCUGGCAUAUUAGGAACCUUGCAUCUUGGAAUCAUCUCCAGUCCAGGGCUCAUUCCCAAGACCUCCCAUGUCAGAGCCCUUCCUUCACAGUUCCAGAG
This is a long non-coding RNA of Bos taurus (domestic cattle), 4170 nucleotides long. The record is from Ensembl. NCBI's taxonomy places the organism in Eukaryota, Metazoa, Chordata, Mammalia, Artiodactyla, Bovidae.